UACGUAGGGGGCGAGCGUUGUCCGGAUUUAUUGGGCGUAAAGAGCUCGUAGGCGGUUUGGUAAGUCGGGUGUGAAAACUCCGGGCUCAACUCGGAGACGCCACUCGAUACUGCCAUGACUCGAGUCCGGUAGGGGAGUGCGGAAUUCCUGGUGUAGCGGUGAAAUGCGCAGAUAUCAGGAGGAACACCGGUGGCGAAGGCGGCUCACUGGCCCGGUACUGACGCUGAGGUGCGAAAGCGUGGGGAGCAAACAGG
Molecule: ribosomal RNA, 254 nt
Filed under: uncultured bacterium
Lineage: Bacteria
Description: partial 16S ribosomal RNA
Rfam family: Bacterial small subunit ribosomal RNA
Source: RNAcentral